CAAUUCUUUGUCACCAUCUUCCCUUCUCAGCCUCUUUUUCCAUGCUAAGAGGCAUAAAUGAAAUGAUAAAAGUUUGAGCUCUUCUCAUGGAAUUCUUGUGAUACAGAUAUGUGCUACAUGUUCACUAUCUCAUUGGUCUUCACCAUGAUAACUGUGGAGUAAGAAUUAUCAGCAGUUCGCAGAUUAUGGACUUGAGACUGACAGUUUGGCUUCCCUGUUCCAGGUGGCAAAGCCUGUGGGGUAUUCACCUACCUGCUGCAUGAAGGCAGCAUGGAGGGACUGUGGUGGAUUAUCUGCAAAGAUGGCCCAAAUUCUCUCAUCCCUGCAGGUACAUACAAGAUGCCAGAAUCAGUCAAAACUAAGCUCACUGUCCUUGCUAAUAUUCUGCCCCAGAGGAGAACUGAAGCUCAGCUAUUCACCCUACAGAAAGCCUGAAUUUUGUAAAUGUUCUGCUUAGAAUGAGGAAGAAAGAUGAAGAAUGAGGAGGAAGAAGGGAGGAACAAGAGAGAGAGGUAAAGCCAACAAGCAGAACAGACCUACAUUUGCAGCAUCUCCAAGUUUCUGCAACAGCUUUAUGUUGUUGUUAUGUUUUGUUUUAAUAAAAGCACAUACCAUUUU
Molecule: long non-coding RNA, 618 nt
Filed under: Pongo abelii (Sumatran orangutan)
Lineage: Eukaryota; Metazoa; Chordata; Mammalia; Primates; Hominidae
Description: lincRNA
Source: RNAcentral